RNAcentral lists this ribosomal RNA (494 nucleotides) under uncultured fungus. Its description in RNAcentral is "SSU rRNA". It matches the Rfam family "Eukaryotic small subunit ribosomal RNA", at positions 215 to 721 of the family's 1831-position model. The record is from RNAcentral. Lineage: Eukaryota; Fungi.
AUAAAAAUCAACUUUGUUGGUGAAUCAUAAUAACUUCUCGGACCGCAUGGCCUCGUGCUGGCGGUGCUUCAUUCAAAUAUCUGCCCUAUCAACUGUCGAUGGUAGGAUAGAGGCCUACCAUGGUUGCAACGGGUAACGGGGAAUAAGGGUUCGAUUCCGGAGAGGGAGCCUGAGAAACGGCUACCACAUCCAAGGAAGGCAGCAGGCGCGCAAAUUACCCGAUCCCAACACGGGGAGGUAGUGACAAUAUGUAACAAUAUACGGCCUUAUACGUCGUAUAAUUGGAAUGAGUACAAUUUAAAUCCCUUAACGAGGAACAAUUGGAGGGCAAGUCUGGUGCCAGCAGCCGCGGUAAUUCCAGCUCCAAUAGCGUAUAUUAAAGUUGUUGCAGCUAAAAAGCUCGUAGUUGGACCUUGGACCUGGACAGGCGGUCCGCCUCACGGCGAGUACUGUCUUGCUGGGUCUUUCCUCUUGGUGAUCUGUUGUUUCGGCAG